Molecule: ribosomal RNA, 674 nt
Filed under: uncultured bacterium
Lineage: Bacteria
Description: bacterial SSU rRNA
Rfam family: Bacterial small subunit ribosomal RNA
Source: RNAcentral
GAGUGGCGAACGGGUGAGUAACACGUGGGUGAUCUGCCCCUAACUUCGGGAUAAGCUUGGGAAACUGGGUCUAAUACCGGAUAGGACAAUCGUUUAGUGUCGGUUGUGGAAAGUUUUUUCGGUUAGGGAUGAGCCCGCGGCCUAUCAGCUUGUUGGUGGGGUAAUGGCCUACCAAGGCGUCGACGGGUAGCCGGCCUGAGAGGGUGACCGGCCACAUUGGGACUGAGACACGGCCCAGACUCCUACGGGAGGCAGCAGUGGGGAAUAUUGCACAAUGGGCGCAAGCCUGAUGCAGCAACGCCGCGUGAGGGAUGACGGCCUUCGGGUUGUAAACCUCUUUUAGCAGGGAAGAAGCGAAAGUGACGGUACCUGCAGAAAAAGCGCCGGCUAACUACGUGCCAGCAGCCGCGGUAAUACGUAGGGCGCAAGCGUUGUCCGGAAUUAUUGGGCGUAAAGAGCUCGUAGGCGGUCUGUCGCGUCUGCCGUGAAAUCCCGAGGCUCAACCUCGGGCUUGCAGUGGGUACGGGCAGACUAGAGUGCGGUAGGGGAGAAUGGAAUUCCUGGUGUAGCGGUGGAAUGCGCAGAUAUCAGGAGGAACACCGAUGGCGAAGGCAGUUCUCUGGGCCGUAACUGACGCUGAGGAGCGAAAGCGUGGGGAGCGAACAGGAUUAGAU